UACGAAGGGGGCUAGCGUUGCUCGGAAUCACUGGGCGUAAAGCGCACGUAGGCGGCUCUUUAAGUCAGGGGUGAAAUCCUGGAGCUUAACUCCAGAACUGCCUUUGAUACUGGGGAUCUCGAGUCCGGGAGAGGUGAGUGGAACUCCGAGUGUAGAGGUGAAAUUCGUAGAUAUUCGGAAGAACACCAGUGGCGAAGGCGGCUCACUGGCCCGGUACUGACGCUGAGGUGCGAAAGCGUGGGGAGCAAACAGG
Molecule: ribosomal RNA, 253 nt
Filed under: uncultured bacterium
Lineage: Bacteria
Description: partial 16S ribosomal RNA
Rfam family: Bacterial small subunit ribosomal RNA
Source: RNAcentral